CUUGCUGGGGGAUUAGUGGCGAACGGGUGAGUAACACGUGAGUAACCUGCCCUUGACUCUGGGAUAAGCCUGGGAAACUGGGUCUAAUACCGGAUACGACCAUCUGGCGCAUGUCAUGGUGGUGGAAAGCUUUUGUGGUUUUGGAUGGACUCGCGGCCUAUCAGCUUGUUGGUGGGGUAAUGGCCUACCAAGGCGACGACGGGUAGCCGGCCUGAGAGGGUGACCGGCCACACUGGGACUGAGACACGGCCCAGACUCCUACGGGAGGCAGCAGUGGGGAAUAUUGCACAAUGGGCGAAAGCCUGAUGCAGCGACGCCGCGUGAGGGAUGACGGCCUUCGGGUUGUAAACCUCUUUCAGUAGGGAAGAAGCGAAAGUGACGGUACCUGCAGAAGAAGCGCCGGCUAACUACGUGCCAGCAGCCGCGGUAAUACGUAGGGCGCAAGCGUUAUCCGGAAUUAUUGGGCGUAAAGAGCUCGUAGGCGGUUUGUCGCGUCUGCUGUGAAAGACCGGGGCUCAACUCCGGUUCUGCAGUGGGUACGGGCAGACUAGAGUGCAGUAGGGGAGACUGGAAUUCCUGGUGUAGCGGUGAAAUGCGCAGAUAUCAGGAGGAACACCGAUGGCGAAGGCAGGUCUCUGGGCUGUAACUGACGCUGAGGAGCGAAAGCAUGGGGAGCGAACAGGAUUAGAUACCCUGGUAGUCCAUGCCGUAAACGUUGGGCACUAGGUGUGGGGGACAUUCCACGUUUUCCGCGCCGUAGCUAACGCAUUAAGUGCCCCGCCUGGGGAGUACGGCCGCAAGGCUAAAACUCAAAGGAAUUGACGGGGGCCCGCACAAGCGGCGGAGCAUGCGGAUUAAUUCGAUGCAACGCGAAGAACCUUACCAAGGCUUGACAUGAACCGGAAAGACCUGGAAACAGGUGCCCCGCUUGCGGUCGGUUUACAGGUGGUGCAUGGUUGUCGUCAGCUCGUGUCGUGAGAUGUUGGGUUAAGUCCCGCAACGAGCGCAACCNUCGUUCUAUGUUGCCAGC
RNAcentral lists this ribosomal RNA (1030 nucleotides) under Paenarthrobacter nitroguajacolicus. Its description in RNAcentral is "bacterial SSU rRNA". It matches the Rfam family "Bacterial small subunit ribosomal RNA", at positions 80 to 1122 of the family's 1533-position model. Lineage: Bacteria; Bacillati; Actinomycetota; Actinomycetes; Micrococcales; Micrococcaceae. The record is from RNAcentral.